AGUGAACGCUGGCGGUAGGCCUAACACAUGCAAGUCGAACGGCAGCACAGUAAGAGCUUGCUCUUACGGGUGGCGAGUGGCGGACGGGUGAGGAAUACAUCGGAAUCUACUUUUUCGUGGGGGAUAACGUAGGGAAACUUACGCUAAUACCGCAUACGACCUACGGGUGAAAGCAGGGGAUCUUCGGACCUUGCGCGAUUGAAUGAGCCGAUGUCGGAUUAGCUGGUUGGCGGGGUAAAGGCCCACCAAGGCGACGAUCCGUAGCUGGUCUGAGAGGAUGAUCAGCCACACUGGAACUAAGACACGGUCCAGACUCCUACGGGAGGCAGCAGUGGGGAAUAUUGGACAAUGGGCGCAAGCCUGAUCCAGCCAUACCGCGUGGGUGAAGAAGGCCUUCGGGUUGUAAAGCCCUUUUGUUGGGAAAGAAAAGCAGCAGGUUAAUACCCCGCUGUUCUGACGGUACCCAAAGAAUAAGCACCGGCUAACUUCGUG
This 492-nucleotide ribosomal RNA is filed under the name uncultured bacterium. RNAcentral's name for it is "partial 16S ribosomal RNA". It matches the Rfam family "Bacterial small subunit ribosomal RNA", at positions 29 to 507 of the family's 1533-position model. The record is from RNAcentral.